This 398-nucleotide ribosomal RNA is filed under the name uncultured bacterium. Its description in RNAcentral is "bacterial SSU rRNA". It matches the Rfam family "Bacterial small subunit ribosomal RNA", at positions 361 to 776 of the family's 1533-position model. The record is from RNAcentral.
AUAUUGGACAAUGGGCGCAAGCCUGAUCCAGCCAUGCCGCGUGAGUGAUGAAGGCCUUAGGGUUGUAAAGCUCUUUCAGUAGGGAAGAUAAUGACUGUACCUACAGAAGAAGCCCCGGCUAACUUCGUGCCAGCAGCCGCGGUAAUACGAAGGGGGCUAGCGUUGUUCGGAUUUACUGGGCGUAAAGCGCACGUAGGCGGAUUGGUCAGUUAGGGGUGAAAUCCCGGAGCUCAACUCCGGAACUGCCUUUAAUACUGCCAAUCUAGAGACCGAGAGAGGUAAGUGGAACUCCUAGUGUAGAGGUGGAAUUCGUAGAUAUUAGGAAGAACACCAGUGGCGAAGGCGGCUUACUGGCUCGGAACUGACGCUGAGGUGCGAAAGCGUGGGGAGCAAACAGG